Molecule: unclassified non-coding RNA, 427 nt
Filed under: Amelanchier asiatica
Lineage: Eukaryota; Viridiplantae; Streptophyta; Magnoliopsida; Rosales; Rosaceae
Description: partial external transcribed spacer
Source: RNAcentral
GGUGAUGGAUUGCUAAUGCAACGGCGUAUGAGUGGUAAUUGGGUUGUAUUCGACGGCAGGCUCCGUGCUUCGGCAUCGAACUGUCGGCUCGUACACCGCGUCACUGAUGCAUCAAGAUUCGUCUUGUGCGCAAGAUGGGUUUCUGUUUUGUCUACCUAUUGUGAAGGAAUGCUGCCUCUCGUCGUCCCUUUCCUCCUCUUGCUGGCCUCGCCGGCGGGAGGACGACAUCGUAGCGGUACUCGUGUCCCGGACGACCCACACUCGUUGUGGUGCAGUUUCGGUCCUCGAGUUUUCGCUCGACAUCUCGGGUGCGGAACACUGAAGGGGGCGGUGGGUCUUUACGGCCUCCGAUCGUCCAAUCGAAGCCUUGUCGCUUGACGCGAACGACUGUCGCGCCCGUUGCGAGCCCUCGACCGUCAAGGUCGUC